This 1405-nucleotide ribosomal RNA is filed under the name uncultured bacterium. Its description in RNAcentral is "16S ribosomal RNA". It matches the Rfam family "Bacterial small subunit ribosomal RNA". The record is from RNAcentral.
AGAGUUUUAUCCUGGCUCAGGAUGAACGCUAGCGACAGGCUUAACACAUGCAAGUCGAGGGGCAGCGGGGAUGAAAGCUUGCUUUCAUCCGCCGGCGACCGGCGCACGGGUGAGUAACACGUAUGCAACCUGCCCGUUGCAGGGGAAUAAGCGGAAGAAAUUCCGUCUAAUACCGCAUAAUAUCCUUUGGAGACAUCUCCUGGGGAUUAAAGAUUUAUCGGCAACGGAUGGGCAUGCGGCGCAUUAGCUUGUUGGCGGGGUAACGGCCCACCAAGGCGACGAUGCGUAGGGGUUCUGAGAGGAAGGUCCCCCACACUGGUACUGAGACACGGACCAGACUCCUACGGGAGGCAGCAGUGAGGAAUAUUGGUCAAUGGGCGAGAGCCUGAACCAGCCAAGUCGCGUGAGGGAAGACGGUCCUAUGGAUUGUAAACCUCUUUUGUCGGGGAGCAGUGGAUUCCACGUGUGGGAUCCGGGAGAGUACCCGAAGAAAAAGCAUCGGCUAACUCCGUGCCAGCAGCCGCGGUAAUACGGAGGAUGCGAGCGUUAUCCGGAUUUAUUGGGUUUAAAGGGUGCGCAGGCGGAAGCGCAAGUCAGCGGUAAAAUUGAGAGGCUCAACCUCUUCCCGCCGUUGAAACUGCGUUUCUUGAGUGGGCGAGAAGUACGCGGAAUGCGUGGUGUAGCGGUGAAAUGCAUAGAUAUCACGCAGAACUCCGAUUGCGAAGGCAGCGUACCGGCGCCCAACUGACGCUCAUGCACGAAAGCGUGGGUAUCGAACAGGAUUAGAUACCCUGGUAGUCCACGCAGUAAACGAUGAAUACUCGCUGUCCGGGGAGAUUGGUCUCUGGGCGGCCAAGCGAAAGCGUUAAGUAUUCCACCUGGGGAGUACGCCGGCAACGGUGAAACUCAAAGGAAUUGACGGGGGCCCGCACAAGCGGAGGAACAUGUGGUUUAAUUCGAUGAUACGCGAGGAACCUUACCCGGGCUCAAACGACGGAUGAAUACUUUUGAAAGGAGGUAGUCCUUCGGGACAUCCGUCGAGGUGCUGCAUGGUUGUCGUCAGCUCGUGCCGUGAGGUGUCGGCUUAAGUGCCAUAACGAGCGCAACCCCCAUCGCCAGUUGCCAACAGGUAAAGCUGGGAACUCUGGCGAGACUGCCGGCGCAAGCUGUGAGGAAGGCGGGGAUGACGUCAAAUCAGCACGGCCCUUACGUCCGGGGCGACACACGUGUUACAAUGGCAGGUACAGAGAGAUGCGACACGGCGACGUGGAGCGGAACUGUCAAAACCUGUCUCAGUUCGGAUCGGAGUCUGCAACCCGACUCCGUGAAGCUGGAUUCGCUAGUAAUCGCGCAUCAGCCAUGGCGCGGUGAAUACGUUCCCGGGCCUUGCACACACCGCCCGUCA